GGAGUCAGUGUAAAGAGAAGGCUAAGGAUAACUCGGCUCUGGAGAGUAGAGAAUAUGCCUUCUCUUCUGCCCCUCCAGGAACCUUACUUUUUUUUUUUUAAACAAAAAACAAAAACAAAAAACAAAAACCAAAAACCAAAAACCAACCACCACCUUUUAUUUAAAAGUCUAACCUUGGGAAUUUGCUGGGGAGAAGGAACUCAGUGAAUAUUGCCCUGGGUCCUGGUAAUUCCACCUACUGAAGACAACUGCCCCUUCUGCUCAUAUUUCCUGAGUCAACAUGGCCGUUCCUAACUUUGAAGAGACUUUAGACAUUCUUUGUUACAAUGAACCUAGAAGAAAGAAGAGAAAUAUUACAGCGACUGUGCCCGGGACUGUAAGGCGGAUAAGACCCAGCAGGAAACAGAGUUCUAAAGUCACCAGGGAAGGAUUCCCACCUUGAAGGACUGUCAUCCUACUUGACAACCUAUUGCACUAUCCUAAUGAUUUUCAUAGUCAAGAACACUUUUCCAAAUUGCUUUUAAUUUUGAAAAAAUUAGUUAUUAAUUGAUCGAUUGUGUGUGUGUGAAGGCCACAGAGUAAUUGAUAGCAGUUGUUUCUCUUCUUCUACCUUGUGGGGCCUGGGGAUUAAACUCAAGUCUUUAUACUUGGUCAUAAGCACGCCCCCUACUGAGUCAUCUCACCUCCUGCUGGGUCACCUAACAACCUACUAAGUCACCUCACCACCUGCUGAGUCAUCUCACCAUCUACUGAGUCAGCUCACCACCUGCUGAAUCACCUCACCACCUGCUGAGUCAGCUCACCAUCUGUUGGGUCACCUCAGCACUUGCUGAGUCACCUCAUCACCUGCCAAGUCAGCUCACCAUCUGUUGGGUUACCUUACCACCUGCUGAGUCACCUCAGCACUUGCUGAGUCGCCUCACCACCUGCUGAGUCAGCUUACCACCUGCUGAGUCACUUCACUACCUGCUAAGUCACCUCACCACCUGUUGGAUCACCUCACUACCUACUGAGUUAAGUCACCACUAACUGAGUCAGCUCACCACCUGCUGAGUCACCUCAUCACCAGCUGAGUCACCUCAUUAGCCCAUUGUUUCUAAAUCCUUCUCACUCAAGUUUAAGACAUGAGCUUCCCACUGCUAAAAGAGAACAGAUGGUUACAAAAUUCUGCAUAUGAAUUCUUCGUUCUUUGGGAACAAACACACAUAAGUAUUAUGUACCUUGAAACACAUACCCACAUCCACACAACCCUGAUCCUGUGCAUCCAUUCACUGUUACACAGUGAAAAGUUCAGCAUUUCUUACCUUUUGGGUAUUUUCUUUCUUUUGAAAUAUGCGUGAUUGCCCCCAUCCCAACUCCACAGGAGGACCUCAUAGUUGGUACUGCUAACCUGGUGUAGGUUUCUAAGCCAAUGACUAGGAGGAUAGUAGACACAGGGGAGUCAGGCGGGUGGGCAGGGGUUGAAUCAGUUACUGUUGUUUUGCUAAAGGGACUACUCUCUAUCUAUGUACCCAUAGAUCACACCCUUGGUUAGAGAUGCUUUUGCUUGCCUUGGGACAUAACUGGUCCAUGUGCUGAGAAAAGGGACUCUUGGGUACUCAGCCCUAUGUGGGACAUCUGUAUAACACAUCCCCAGAGCCCAGGGAAUAUCAUGGGGGAAUAUAAGAGCUAUAGGAUGAGAAUUGGUGCUACAGAAUGCUGUUUGUGGAUAAGACAUGGCUGAUGCAUCCAUAACUCAGAGCAACAGUGGUGACUUGCUCAAGACCUUCACAAGACUGAGCUGUCAACCUUCUACCCUGGAUGGAAGACGGGAUGGUAAGAUCCCAUCCUUCCAUCGGAGCAACAGGCAAUUAAAACGUGCACAGGGAAGGAAGAACAUACUCUUUAUACUGCUGAGUCACGAUUGCAUUGCCCUCACCCAAAUAAAUGUAGGAAACCACAAUUAAAUGAGGUGAGUCAUCAAUAAACCACAAACAAACAAACAAGUAAGCAACAGACAUAAAAGUUGGAGGACUGAGGAGAAGGGAUUUAUUGGGAGGCGACAAGAGAAGACUACGACAACGGCGCAAUUUUGAUCAAAGAAUGUGCGAAACUGUAAAAAAAAAUAGUAAAUAUGUUAAAUACAUAAAAAUAAAGACAAAAAUACCACAGAUUAAGUACAAACUAACGGUUAGUUCCUCACAAGUAAUGUAUGCUAACAGUUUGCACUGUGCUUCUUAUAGUGCAGUAGUAGAUGAUGCUUACCAACUGGAUCCUUGCCUGUUGUUUUAAAGUUUAUCAGUUGGACUCCCCUCCUGGAGACAUGCAUCCUGCAUAUAAUAAAUUCUCAGAAAGAACGUG
RNAcentral lists this long non-coding RNA (2340 nucleotides) under Mus musculus (house mouse). RNAcentral describes it as "POU domain, class 3, transcription factor 3 adjacent noncoding transcript 1". Lineage: Eukaryota; Metazoa; Chordata; Mammalia; Rodentia; Muridae. The record is from RNAcentral.